CCGACCACCCGCCCCUGCCCUGUUGGCCACUACUGCCCAGGAGGGAAUGAGACCAGCCCAGGAAUGCCCCAGGCCUGCCCUGAGCACACCUACCUGGCUGCAGAAGGAGGCCAGAGUCUGGCAGAGUGCCUCCCUUGCCCUCCUGGGUACCACUGCCUGUCCCCAGGUCUCUCUUCUUUCAAAAGCCACCCAUGUCCUCCAGGCUACUGGUGUCCAGGUGAUCAGGGCGCUGUUCUAUGCCCACCAGGCACCUUUCGGAUCAAGCCAGGGGCAUCAUCACAAGAAGACUGUGAGCUCUGUCCCCCUGGCCACUACUGCCCCCAGGCUGAGCUGAGGGGUCAUGCAAAUGUGUUUGUGAUCCCCUGCAGAGCUGGAUCUGAAUGCCCUGCAGGUGCUGCGGCUGAGGUCACAUGCAGGGCUGGCUCCUACUGCGGGCCUCAGACGGGGGUCCCCCCACUUUGCCCCGGGGGUUAUGCCUGCCCUGCCGGCUCCUCCACCUACACGGGCCCAGGGCAGCUGUGAGUACCCUCCCCUGUCUGUGUGUCUGGGCUCUCCCUGUGUCUCAGCCUCUGGGUUCUCCAGAGAGGAGUCAACCCCGGCGUCCCAAAGGAUGCAGACCAAAACAACAGGGCCCAGAGGCAAGCACGGGCUAACCAUCUGCUUGGGUUUCCCAGUUUGAGUGUUCAGGUGCCCCAGUCCCUGCCUCUGUCCCUGG
RNAcentral lists this long non-coding RNA (715 nucleotides) under Ursus americanus (American black bear). Its description in RNAcentral is "lncRNA (ENSUAMG00000005617.1)". Lineage: Eukaryota; Metazoa; Chordata; Mammalia; Carnivora; Ursidae. The record is from RNAcentral.